RNAcentral lists this ribosomal RNA (255 nucleotides) under uncultured bacterium. Its description in RNAcentral is "partial 16S ribosomal RNA". It matches the Rfam family "Bacterial small subunit ribosomal RNA", at positions 333 to 584 of the family's 1533-position model. The record is from RNAcentral.
UGGGCCCUACGGGGCGCAGCAGUGGGGAAUAUUGCGCAAUGGGCGAAAGCCUGAACCAGCCAAGUCGCGUGAGGGAAUAAGGCCCUACGGGUCGUAAACCUCUUUUGCCGGGGAGCAAGGGCGGGGACGUGUCCCGGCCCGGAGAGUACCCGGAGAAAAAGCAUCGGCUAACUCCGUGCCAGCAGCCGCGGUAAUACGGAGGAUGCGAGCGUUAUCCGGAUUUAUUGGGUUUAAAGGGUGCGUAGGCGGGCUUUU